AUUGAACGCUGGCGGCAGGCCUAACACAUGCAAGUCGAGCGGAUGAAGGGAGCUUGCUCCUGGAUUCAGCGGCGGACGGGUGAGUAAUGCCUAGGAAUCUGCCUGGUAGUGGGGGAUAACGUCCGGAAACGGGCGCUAAUACCGCAUACGUCCUGAGGGAGAAAGUGGGGGAUCUUUGGACCUCACGCUAUCAGAUGAGCCUAGGUCGGAUUAGCUAGUUGGUGGGGUAAAGGCCUACCAAGGCGACGAUCCGUAACUGGUCUGAGAGGAUGAUCAGUCACACUGGAACUGAGACACGGUCCAGACUCCUACAGGAGGCAGCAGUGGGGAAUAUUGGACAAUGGGCGAAAGCCUGAUCCAGCCAUGCCGCGUGUGUGAAGAAGGUCUUCGGAUUGUAAAGCACUUUAAGUUGGGAGGAAGGGCAGUAAGUUAAUACCUUGCUGUUUUGACGUUACCAACAGAAUAAGCACCGGCUAACUUCGUG
RNAcentral lists this ribosomal RNA (484 nucleotides) under uncultured bacterium. RNAcentral's name for it is "partial 16S ribosomal RNA". It matches the Rfam family "Bacterial small subunit ribosomal RNA", at positions 30 to 507 of the family's 1533-position model. The record is from RNAcentral.